Molecule: ribosomal RNA, 409 nt
Filed under: Bacillota bacterium
Lineage: Bacteria; Bacillati; Bacillota
Description: Firmicutes bacterium partial 16S ribosomal RNA
Rfam family: Bacterial small subunit ribosomal RNA
Source: RNAcentral
UGGGGAAUAUUGGACAAUGGGCGGAAGCCUGAUCCAGCAACGCCGCGUGAGGGAUGACGGCCUUCGGGUUGUAAACCUCUUUCAGUACCGACGAAGCGAAAGUGACGGUAGGUACAGAAGAAGCACCGGCCAACUACGUGCCAGCAGCCGCGGUAAUACGUAGGGUGCGAGCGUUGUCCGGAAUUAUUGGGCGUAAAGGGCUCGUAGGCGGUUUGUCGCGUCGGGAGUGAAAACACUGGGCUUAACUCAGUGCUUGCUUCCGAUACGGGCAGACUAGAGGUAUGCAGGGGAGAACGGAAUUCCUGGUGUAGCGGUGAUAUGCGCAGAUAUCAGGAGGAACACCGGUGGCGAAGGCGGUUCUCUGGGCAUUACCUGACGCUGAGGAGCGAAAGUGUGGGGAGCGAACAGG